GUCAAUGUGGUGUAGUGGUUUGAGUGUUGGGACUCUGAAGACCAGGGUUCGAUUCCCUGCUUGGCCA
This is a non-coding RNA of Phrynosoma platyrhinos (Desert horned lizard), 67 nucleotides long. The record is from the annotation of a GenBank genome assembly. NCBI's taxonomy places the organism in Eukaryota, Metazoa, Chordata, Lepidosauria, Squamata, Phrynosomatidae.